Symsagittifera roscoffensis is the source of this 560-nucleotide long non-coding RNA. RefSeq lists it as uncharacterized. The record is from RefSeq and is a predicted model, not a curated record. NCBI's taxonomy places the organism in Eukaryota, Metazoa, Xenacoelomorpha, Acoela, Convolutidae. The transcript has 3 exons.
GAAUUUGGAUCGUGGCGUCAGGUAUACGAUAUCCAUAAGGGCUAUUCUGGGGGGAAAUUACAGUGGAAGUACCGACUGCAGAACUGCACCAACAGAACCAUUGAAAAGCGAGGAGGUUCAAUUUGUGGGUUGCACCGAGCCACCUGAUCCCAACAUAACAACCGAGGUUGAUGGCGGAAAUGUAACAGUUAGAGUGCAUAAUCGACCCGAAAACUUUGACAAAUGGAGUUUGGAAUUGAAUUACCGUUGUAACAACACAUACUGUUAUGAUUAUAUCAUUGACCGCUCUCGCUACGAAAGGGCGAAUUCGACUAUUUCAAGCUACCAAUUUGAAGUAGAGCCAAUAUACGGUGUCAACUACGGAGUAGAAGUCAAUUUGUUUUUUGGCGUUGAUGGGUACACGGAAUGUGACAACAGUUGGGAAGCAGAUUCGAGAGGCGACAUGGUUUUUUCUUUUGGUUGCAACCUUGCUCCGACAGUAAGAGCUCAAGUAGAAACUGUGAAUAGGAGUUCAAUUAUAUUCCACAAUGUCGAUUGGAUACCACAUAUAGACUCAUGUA